CCUACGGGUGGCAGCAGUGAGGAAUAUUGGUCAAUGGGCGCAAGCCUGAACCAGCCAAGCAGCGUGAAGGAUGAAUGCCCUCCGGGUCGUAAACCUCUUUUAUAAAGGAAUAAAGUGAGGCACCUGUGCCUUAUUGUAUGUACUUUAUGAAUCAGGAUCGGCUAACUCCGUGCCAGCAGCCGCGGUAAUACGGAGGAGCCGAGCGUUAUCCGGAUUUAUUGGGUUUAAAGGGAGCGUAGAGGGGUGGUUAAGUCCGGGGUGAAAGGUUGUGGUUAAACCGUAAAAUUGCAUUUGAGAAUGGCAGCCUGGAGUGCAGUAGAGGUAGGCGGAAUUCGUGGUGUAGCGGUGAAAGGCGUAGAUAUCACGAAGAACGCCGAUUGCGAAGGCAGCCUGCUAGACUGCCACUGACAUUGAUGCUCGAAAGUGUGGGUAUCAAACAGGAUUAGAUACCAGAGUAGUC
Molecule: ribosomal RNA, 460 nt
Filed under: uncultured bacterium
Lineage: Bacteria
Description: partial 16S ribosomal RNA
Rfam family: Bacterial small subunit ribosomal RNA
Source: RNAcentral